Molecule: ribosomal RNA, 456 nt
Filed under: Triticum aestivum (bread wheat)
Lineage: Eukaryota; Viridiplantae; Streptophyta; Magnoliopsida; Poales; Poaceae
Description: partial small subunit ribosomal RNA
Source: RNAcentral
AUGGCUCUCAUUGAAGCAGAUGCCAUGGAACUGGAGGAUGUUCUUCUGGCCACAGCUCAUCAGCUGCAGCAAGUCCUGACGGAUCUCGACAUCGUAAGCACUGCCCAUGUUACAACCCCUCAUUUUGUUAACCCAAACCUUCCUUCCUCUAUGGACUCCCCUGAACGAUUGCGUGAUCCUUCUUCCUGGCAGCCGCAGAGCCCGAAGGGGAGCUUCACACCGCCGCCACCGCCGCCACUGUUCUUCCGAUGCUUCUUUGUUGCCGAUUUUAGGGCAGCCUCGACACGGCUCUUGAAGAGCUCCUCGCUCCCGGAUUGCACAAUUAUCAGGACAGCACCAAGUGUCAAUCCUCUCUUCUCGAAGAUCUGGAUCUUCUUGCAACUGAACAAUGGGCUGUCGAGUGAGCCUGACAUUGACUGCCAUGAAAGUGGGGCAUUGCAGGCAAAAGUGAGCUGA